UGCCGCCCCCCGGCGCUGGCAGGAGGCGCUCCCGGGGCCGCCGCUGUCCCAGCCGGGAGCGAGGGGGGCUCGCUGCGGGGGGAGGCAGCGCUGUGGAAACGCCUUACAGUUGUCCGGAGCGCGAAAUCCGCUCCCGACGAAAUCUCUUGGGUUUGCGGCAUUAUCUUAAUUAAGAUAAUUGAUUCAUAUUGCACCUGCGAGAGUGCGGGGAAAAGAUGCCUCCCCAAAUAGCUUGGAGCUAUUGGAGAGAGGAAGCCGCGCUUAUAAUUGAGCGAGUGAUUUACUGCCCGGGUAGCCCGGGCUGCUCGGGCUCUCCUUGCGCUGCCAGGCUUCCCGUUCUCCCUCUCCAGAGAGGCACACACGCAAAACAAGGAGGUUAUCCUGAAUAAAAAACAGAGAAGGGAAAACGUCUCUGCCCGCUGUCCCUGUCGGUCUGUCCCUCCCCAGGGCACGGCACCGCGGGGCCGGAGCCCGUCGGGCUCGGGAAGGGCCGGCUCGGGUCUGCCCGCGGCGCUGCCCCGCUCCCCAGUUCCAAAGGCUGCGGGGACAGGAGGGCACGGGAGGGGAGGGCAGCCCCACCGCCCGGAUCACGCCGAGCCGGGGCCAGCCUGCCGCGGGAAUCGCCGCGGGAGAACCGCGCCCUGGAUGAGCCGCGCCGGUACCGGUUCGGCGCCACCGGCGUGAGACCGCUCCGCGCUUCGUGGCGUCUCUCUAGGACACAGUGUACAUCUGGGCUCCAAAACUGGCAACAGAGAAGAAAUGGAGCACCUGCUGGAAGUUCAUUUGUAUGUAUUACUGCUGUGGUGGAGAGAUGGAUGACCGUGGGGGCAGAGCUGUGCAGAUGAGUGGGAGGAGUGGGGGAGGCCGUGGAACAAGCCCUUCAUGUGGCUCGGCUCCACACUCGGUUCCCGCCGGUCGCGCCCACCAGGAGAUGGCACUGGAGAACCUGUCCUGCAGAGAGAAGGCAAAAAUGCCGCUUCACAAUCCGGCUCUGUGCUUGUGAACACGAAAUAAUCCGGAAGGUAUCUCUCCUCCGCAGUAUUUGCUUUUAGGAAGGACUUAAGGCUUUGGCUUUUUUUCAUUUUGUUCUCAAACAUGAUGAAGAAGAAACUAAAAGGAAGCCAACCACAGCACCCAGUGAAUGCCAUCUGGGUUUGCCUAGUGAAGCACAUUCUAUUUUCUCAAGUAAGUCCUACAACACUGAUAAGCUUUCAAAUAGAAGAUUUUAUCAGCAAAAAGGGUUUUUCUCAUAUAAUAACAAUUUAUAACACCCAUUUUCUGAAUGAACAAUCAGUUAAUUCAAUUUUGAAUAGAACUACAAUUGUGACUGAAAAAAAUGCACUGUAGCAACUUAAUGUGGGAACUUUUUUCAAACUUUAAUAAAAAAUGCAAAGGAUUUUCUAGUGGCAUGAACAUUUCCACCUUUUAAACACUUAUGUGGUACAUACUAAAUCUUUCUUUGGAUUCUUGAAGCAUUUUUCAGUCACUUCAUACUCCUGUCUCAAAAUGCAGAACCAUGCUUUCAGAUAGGUUCCUCCUAUGGAAUGACAGCUGAAGGGAUGUACAUCUUUCAGAUUUAGCAGCACAGAUAUGAGAAGAAAGUAGCCAUAUAUAAUAUUUUGGGGAGCAGCCUAGUUACUUAAGAAAAUGUAGAGAUUACAAGAUGGAAACUUGCUCACAAUCUCUUUCUCUCCAAUAGCUGUUACUUCUCGUGAAGAUUGAUGAAAAUGUCUUCAACACGAUCUAAAUGGCACUUAUGCCUCAGGGUUCACUUCGUGUCUUUUGAUGUGUCCCUGAUCAGGCUUUGUUUUGGGAGGUGUGAUGGUAUAGGACCAUUAACCGUUACCAGUAAGUGCUAAUGUUAAUUACAUUAAGCACAAUCCUCCAGUUGGUCCAUCUGUUACUCAUUUUUUAUGUGCUACCUAUUAUUGUUUGGGGUUUUCUCUGUGCUCCGGGAAGAUAUCUUCUAGCUUUCUUCUCGGCUUUAUUUAAAGUAUGUUAAUUUAUGUAUGCCUCGAUGAAAUACUUAAACGCAUUUCAAAUUUAGUUUUCAUUUUCUAGGGAUUUUUAAAAUAUUAUUUUUGCCUGUUGUUUUAGUAUUUAGUUGCGGCAUUGCACCGGAAUGUAUAGCUUAGUAAACCACUACGGCAUCUUGUAUUUCAUAUAGUGUGCGUCUUGAAAAUGAUCAGUGUCAUAUUUUUAGAUGAAUUUGGGCAGUUUUCCUCACA
Melospiza melodia melodia is the source of this 2228-nucleotide long non-coding RNA. RefSeq lists it as uncharacterized. The record is from RefSeq and is a predicted model, not a curated record. The transcript has 3 exons. NCBI's taxonomy places the organism in Eukaryota, Metazoa, Chordata, Aves, Passeriformes, Passerellidae.